This 74-nucleotide transfer RNA is filed under the name Kluyveromyces marxianus DMKU3-1042. RNAcentral's name for it is "tRNA-Asn (CAA)". It matches the Rfam family "tRNA". From Rfam's summary of the family: Transfer RNA (tRNA) molecules are approximately 80 nucleotides in length. Their secondary structure includes four short double-helical elements and three loops (D, anti-codon, and T loops). The record is from RNAcentral. Lineage: Eukaryota; Fungi; Ascomycota; Saccharomycetes; Saccharomycetales; Saccharomycetaceae.
AGUUUUUAUAGCUUAAUGGUUAAAGCUUCUCACUGUUAAUGAGAUGAUAUAGGUUCAAUUCCUAUUAAAAACUA